CCCGCACAAGCGGUGGAGCAUGUGGUUUAAUUCGACGAUACGCGAAGAACCUUACCUGGCCUUGACAUAGACAGAAUUUUCCAGAGACGGAGAAGUGCUAGUUUACUAGAACUGUCAUACAGGUGCUGCACGGCUGUCGUCAGCUCGUGUCGUGAGAUGUUGGGUUAAGUCCCGCAACGAGCGCAACCCUCGUGUUUAGUUACUAACAGUUCGGCUGAGGACUCUAAACAGACUGCCUGGGUAACCAGGAGGAAGGUGAGGACGACGUCAAGUCAUCAUGGCCCUUACGGCCAGGGCUACACACGUGCUACAAUGGGGUAUACAAAGAGCUGCAAUACGGUGACGUGGAGCAAAUCUCAUAAAAUAUCUCCCAGUUCGGAUUGAAGUCUGCAACUCGACUUCAUGAAGUUGGAAUCGCUAGUAAUCGUAGAUCAGCAAUGCUACGGUGAAUACGUUCCCGGGUCUUGUACUCACCGCCCGUCACACCAUGGGAAUUGAAUUCAUUCGAAGCGGGGAUGCUAAAAUAGCUACCUUCCACAGUGGAUUUAGUAACUAGGGUGAAGUCGUAACAAGGUA
This 576-nucleotide ribosomal RNA is filed under the name uncultured bacterium. Its description in RNAcentral is "bacterial SSU rRNA". It matches the Rfam family "Bacterial small subunit ribosomal RNA", at positions 920 to 1498 of the family's 1533-position model. The record is from RNAcentral.